UCCCUUCUCUUUUUCUUUCUUUCCUUCUUUCUCUCUGCCCUCCGGCUCUUCCCCCUUUAUUCCGGUUUACUUUCCCAGAUCUUUUUCAUUUUUUCUCUUUCUUCUUUCCUUCUUCCUUCAGUUAUCUCUCCUUAGUUUCUCUCUUUCUUCCUUUGCAAGUCCGUCUUUACCAUUCUUUUGCUUCUUUCUACUUUUUCGUCUUCUCUUCCCUCUUUUUUCUUUUCCACAUUCUUUCUUCUGACUUCUCUUCCUUUUCUUUCUCCUUCUUUUCGUUCUUGCUGUGCUGCACUAUAUCAUUACAUCCCUCUUCUCUCCGUUUCCAUCCUUCUGUCUUAUUUACCCCCUGCCGGCAGCUCCCCAGUUGCUUUCGGCGACGCAGCGGAGACCGUCAAAGACAGAACCAUUAGCGCUAAUUACGGGGCAUCAGCGCCCGAGCGCGGUACUCUAAGGAAAGCAGAGGCUGUUAGGGACCUGCUCCGUUCACCGUCUAGAAAUAUUGACGUCGUGCUGAUUAUAUCCUGUAUCGCCUCUUCUUCCAUUCCUUUCUCUUCCCUUUUUCUUCUUUGGUUAGUUUUUUUUCUUUUCUUUUUUUUUUUUUUUUACUUUCCAACAUUCCUUUCUUGUCUUAUUCCUCCCCUUCAGCUAGUCUCCUCUCUGUCUCUUUCUCGCUUUCUUCCUGCAUUUUCCUCUCCUCCUUCUUUCUUCUGUCUUCUAAUUCCUUCACUCUUCACUCUUCUCUUUCCUUCUUUCCUUGCCCGGCCUUAUCUUUGUGUUGCAAUCUUUUCUCUUUAUACAAAAACAGUCGAGCCAUUCUCUUUUCCUUUCUUUUUCGUCUUCACCAAAAUGUUUAACAAAGGUCUGCACCACGCUCGAACUAUAACAUGGACAUCUCUUCAGACAAGAGCUCUCAUUCCUUCUCUUCACCACUUUUCAACAAGACUUACACGGCAUCCCCGAGUACUAAGAAUGCUGCGUUCCUCGUGUCAAUGCAUCCUGGUAAUCUCCUCUGUCAUCUCUUCCUUCUUUCCUGUAUCUUCCUUCUUUCUGCCUUUCUGUUUCUUCUUUGCUUGUUUCUUACUUGCAUAGAUUCCUUCCUUCCCUUUUGCCUUUUCAUCUUCCUUCCUCUCUCAUCUUCCUGUUAGUUUUUUUUUAAUUUAGUUUUCUAAACUGCCUUAUCCCUGCUUUCCUUACUCUUCUCCUUCCAUCCUUGUAUCUUCUG
This 1219-nucleotide long non-coding RNA is filed under the name Calidris pygmaea (Spoon-billed sandpiper). Its description in RNAcentral is "lncRNA (ENSCPGG00000000381.1)". The record is from RNAcentral. Lineage: Eukaryota; Metazoa; Chordata; Aves; Charadriiformes; Scolopacidae.